Molecule: long non-coding RNA, 1586 nt
Organism: Cyprinus carpio carpio
Lineage: Eukaryota; Metazoa; Chordata; Actinopteri; Cypriniformes; Cyprinidae
Source: Ensembl
CUGACAUCCUGCUCAUUAAUCAUAAGACGCUGUGCUCCUCACUGCUCCUCCCACAGGUGUCCGGCGCUCCACAGCUGACCUGGAAACCAAUGAUUGAUGACAUCAUUUAAAGGGCUGCUCCAGUUCUACGCUGCUCGGCGGUGUUAUUUAGCAACUUUUAAAUGCUCCAAUUAUGUAAAUUACAGGAAGAUUACUUCUCAUGAUUACAGUAAUGGCGAGGAGGAUCACCGUAAUGGAGGUGGACUGUAAAUAAGCAGAAGGCCUUCUUGACAAAUGAAUCCAUUAACAUUUCCCAGUGUCACCUGGCAAGGAGACUUGCCGUUUAUGAGGCAGAAAAAACAGGCCUGUAAAUCUGACGAUCGGCGGAGACCUGAAACCUGCGCGUUCAUGAUGCAGCACUUUAUCUGGCUCUGAAAUGGCAUCUUUAUCUGCUUAAAUUAAGUUUUGAUUCCUUGCCACAUACGGUGUUGCAAAUCACUUUUAACGCCGAUAUCGAGAGUGGCACUAAAGUCGGCCUGUGGCCAUGAAAAACUGCUUUUUAUUUUGUAGCAUCCUUGUGUUGUGCCGGUUUGCUUUAACCCCUGCAUAUUCUCUCAGCAUAAUCUAUCACAGAAAGAUGCUCUAAAAAGUCAUUGAGUCAAGGUUUAUGGGCAGAAUAAAUUUCCAAUUUAAAUUUGGUUUUACCGCUGUGUGUCAGAGAAGGAUUCCCUGACUUCUGUUUCACUUCAUAACGCCGGCCUGAAGUCAGCGCUUUAGAGACGCCGAGAUUGAUAGAGUUUUUUUUUCUCAAGGACGCCCAUCAUUCGCUCAGGCGUUAACGUCUUUGUUAAUGGAGGAGAAGGGCUGUCGCACCAAUGACUGACAGGUCUUUCAUCGUUAGCAAACGCUGAGUGACAGUUUGGGGGAAAAGCACCAAUGAGCUGAGAGAGGUGAGUUUAUGUUGAUGUUGCUGUUUGGGUUUGAUUAGAGCAGAGCUUCUCCAGCGGUUUGUCAUCAGGAUUUACACUGAAAAAAAAAAAAAAAAAACUGGGGUAGAAACAAUUCUCAUGUAGAAACUGCACGUAAAUUUCACAAAUCGUUACUAAGUAAUGGCAAUAACACAUUGAAAUAAUCAUGAAAUUUUGAAGUGGACAAACCAAAAUAGUAUUUUCUUGUAACAUGCACUCCAAUAAUUUUAUUUACAACAUUGAAAAUUUAGUUUUACAGUGCAGAUUUUACAUCAAUGGUCUCAAGCUCACAGCUCUGCAGAGUUCAGCUCCAACCAGCUCCAAAUCACACCUGCUUGAAAGUUUCAUAUAUAGUUUUAAUUAACUAUUUAACUUUAACAAAUUGUUGCUUGAAAUAAAAUAGACAUUAACUGAAAAAAUAAAGAUGUGCUAAAAAUAACAAGAAUUUUAAAUAAAAAUUAAUACAAACUAUAUAUAAACAAACCACUAAAAAUUACAAAAACACACAACAAAAUUACAAAAACUUUAACUAAAAUUAAAAAAAGCAUUUCCAUUAUUUAAUAAUACAGACACUAAAUAGACAUUAAUGAAAUAAAAUAGACAUUAUUGAUAUAAAAGAAAAUAUAAAACCUUUUUAUU